CAAACAGUAAUUCAAAGGGGUUAUUAAGGAAAAACUAGCAAAUUUAUAAAAAAGGAGGGCACAAGUCCAAAAGCCACAAUUUACCGAAAGGUGAUCAAGUUUCAUUAGAUUUAUUUAAUGUUGACAAAGAAUGUAGGCGAUCCUAAGGGAAACCUUUAUAUUUAAACUUCCCGAAGUAAAACAUUUCAUUAGGGAAAGGAAAGGAAAUCAACCGAGACUCCGAAAGUAAUGGCGAGUGAAAUCGGACUAGCCUUUAUUUAAAAAUAAAUUUAACAAAAAUACACACCAGAAACCAAAGAAGGUAAAACAGUCCUGUAUGUUAAAUCUUUUUAAAACUAAUGUUUAAAUAAGUAUUAUUAAAUUAAAAUUUAUUUAAAUAAUGAGUACGACGAGAGCGAACUUGUCGGAAUAUAGGGGAACCAUCCUCUAAGGCUAAGUAUUUAUAAAUUUAGCGAUAGUGAAAAGUACCGUGAGGGAAAGUUUGAAAUAGUUAUGUAAUUUUAGACAUAAAUGAAAUAGUUGAAUUAGUAACUCUAUAAGCAGUCGAAAUUUAUAAUUAUAAAUGACGGCGUACCUUUUGCAUAAUGGGUCAGCAAGUUAAUAGGAGUAGCAAGGUUAAAAGCCUUAGUGAAAGCGACCACACUAACUAGCUAAAAGUAUUCUUAAUUUCAUAGAUAUUAAGAAUAGGAUAUCCUUCAUAGUCAUAAGGCUAAGAAGUUAAAUAUUUUCUAGGAAUAUAGUGAUGGGUAAGUUACUUCUAUUAGACCCGAAGCUAGGUGAUCUUCCUAAGACCAGAUUAUAAUGGAUCGAACGGGUGAAUGUAGCAAAAUUCUCCGAAGAGUUUUAGGAAGCGGUGAAAUGCCAAUCUGACCUAGUGAUAGCUGGUUUUCUACGAAACAUAUGUAAGUAUGACAUCUAAACAAAAUUUAUGGUGGUACAGCACUGAGUUCCCAACUAUUUCUUUUUUUUAAAGAAAAGUUUAGGUUGCGGGGACGUCGAAAAUCUUACCAAUGGAAGAGAAUCUCGGAAUGACAUAAAUUGAUGAUAGAUAUUCAGACUGCUCAUGCGAAGUUGGGUAGUCAAGACGGAAACAGCCGAGAACACGAAACAAGGUCCCAAAUGAUUUUUAAGUGAAAUGAAGGAAGUAAUAUAUUGAAUGCAGCUGUAAAGUGAGCCUGGUAGUCGCUAUCUUUUAAUAAACGUAAUGUAACAACGUAGCAGCCUUAAACAAUAGAAUAUUACACCAAAAAUUUAACGGGUCUCAAAAAAUCAACCGAUAUCGUGUUUAUUUUGAAUAAUAAAAAUUAAUAUUCAAUAUACAGGUAGUAGAACAUUCAGUAUACUGAUGAUAAAACAGUGUUUCAUUGUUUUUAGGUCACUGAAGAGAGAAUGCUGACAUGAGUAACGUAAAAAGAAGUUAUAAUACUUCUCGCCGAAUACGAAAGGGUUGUAAGGAAAGGUUAAACCACCUUAUGUUAAUGCGGCCUCUAAGGAACAAAACCAAAGUUUUGUCUGAUGAGUAUGAAUUAGAAAGUCCAUUUUUAAAAAUAAAAAUUUAAUAAAGGGACCAGGAAAAGAAUAUAUUCUUAACUACCGUACCCUAAACCGACACAGGUUCGUAAGUAGAGUAUACUAAGGCGUAGAGCUAAAAGUUGUUAAGGAACUCGGCAAGUUCUCCUCAUAAGUUUGACGAUAAGAGGAACCCGAUAAGGGUGGCACAAAAUCGGAGGCCCCGACUGUUUACUAAAAACACAAUUCAGAGCAAUGAUGAAAAAUCAUAGUAUUCUGGAUGAAAUUUGCCCAAUGCCAUUAACAUAAAAGAGGUUAUGGGUAACUGUAACUGAUUGAAAGUCUGGUUAAUAGCGGUCUUAACUAUGAGGAUCCAAAGGUAGCAAAAUAAAUUGGCCAUUAAAUGUGGUCUGGUAUCAAUAGUGUAACGAUGGUCUCACUGUCUCUACAACUUGCUCAGUGAAAUUGAAUUACCCGUGCAGAUGCGGGUUGCCUCCAGGUGGACGGGAAACUUAAAUUAUAUCUGGAAUUAAAUUAAAAUGCGACUAGCUAAGUUUACUAUAAUAAUGUUGUGUAAACCAACCAGAUAACCCAUUAUCUGAGCUCAAACAGCAUGUUUUCGGAGUAAUCCUAAAUCAUGAAGCCUGUUUAUAUGUAAUUAUUCAAUAUGGGAAAAGUAUUUAAAUUGAAUAUCUCAUAUAAGAGCUAGAUACCUAUGAACAAUGUAAUGUGAAUUCACGUCAGAAGCGGUAUGAUUGAUUGUAGAAAGACGUUCCCGUGUUUUUCUUAAUGGGUCUAAAUGUCUCAUAGCGUAUAGUGGAGUUCUAAGGGUAUCAUUAAAGUAUUAUAGUAAAAACUAGGUAAGCCCAAUAAUAACCAAUUUACAAGAAUUAUAAAUUGGAGGUUUAUCUGCGAAGAUAAAUAACUAUUAGUGGGUAUAGGAUAUUCAAAAAAGCUAAAGCCUUGUUGUAAUUACAAGGAUAGGUUCAGUUGAACUAACCUUAAAGGGUGCUGACUUUGAAUUAGUGUUAAGUUAUAAUUGUUAAAAAUUUUAUUAGAAGUAAUAAAACUUAAAAAUUUUUCAUUCUAGUACCAGCUCCAAUUAAUCCAGAGUAGGUUAAUCUUACUCCAAUGUGUUUAGUAUGCUAUAACAUAUUUUAAUAAAAAAACUAUGGAUAAUGAUGAAUAGAAAUUUUACUAAACCUAAUAAAAAUUUAAUACCUUGGCAGGUUACAGGAUUAACAGAUGGUGAAGGAUCAUUUGUUUAUUCUAUAACUAAUACAGGUAAAGGCUCAACAGGCCAAAAAAUAAGUUUAGAAUUUAAAGUAACACAAAAAACACAUUCAGAAGGAGUACUUUAUGAACUUAAAGAAUAUUUUGGGUGUGGGAACGUAGUUAUAGAUAAUAGAAAAACAGAUACAAAAAAAUUUCAUAUUAAUUCUUUAAAACUUCUUUUAGAAAAAGUAAUACCUCAUUUUGAUGAGUAUCCUUGUCUUACUUCUAAAGAAUUAAAUUAUAAAGAUUGGAAAAAAAUUUGUCUUAUCAUGAGUAAAAAAGAACAUUUAAACUUAACAGGAAUGGAAGAAAUAAAUAAAAUAGUUUUACUAAUGAAUAAAAAUAGAUCUUUUGAAGAUAAAUAUAAUCACUGUAAAUCUUUUUUAGGUUUAUCUGAUUUAGAAGUCAAAUAUGAUUUACCAGAUAAUUGGGUACAAGGAUUUUUAACAGGUGAAGGUUUAUUUUAUCAUUAUUUAAAUGGUACUGUAAUUAACCCUUCUCUUGAAUUAGGUCAAAAUAGUCAUGAUGUAGCUAUUUUAAUAGCUCUUAAAAAAUUUUUCAAUGGUGGUUAUAUAAAACCUAAAUAUAAAUUUAAUGAUUUAGAAGAAUGUAAAAAUUCAAGAUCUCUAAAUAGAUUUAUUUUAAGAAACACAGAAACUAUUAUCCAGUUUGUGGAUAAAUAUCCUAUGUUAACUAGAAAACAUCUAGAUUACGAAGAUUGGAAAAAAGUUGUAGAAUUAAAAAAUAAAGGUUUACAUAAAACUGAAGAAGGUUUAGCUUUAAUAAAUGAAAUAGUAUCAAAAAUGAAUUCUAAAAGAGAUUCAGAUUAUAAUCCCUAGCUUAAAAUUUUAAACAAUUAUAAUAAACUUAAUGCUUGAGCUGUAUGCGAUGAAAGUCGCACGUACAGUUCUUAGAGGAUGUCAAAGUUGUAAAACUUGGCGGAGCCUCAACAGACCCUAUGCAGCUUUACUGUAGUUAGCUAUCAUAUUGAUCUACAACAACCUUAGUUAAUAGUAAUUAGGGAUGUCGAAUUGACGAAAGAUGGAAUACCUUCUGACUUUGGUUGGGUUAAUAUUUACCUUUUUAAGUAAAAUAUUAUAUAUGACUCAAAAUUUUCUUUUGUUUAUUCUAUUCAUAUUCUGUUAUAUAGUGUAAUAUGGUAUAAAGCUUAUAAGGGAUAGGUGGCUAAUUGGCAGUUUGACUGGGGCGGUCGUCUUUGAUAAAGUAGCAAAGUACAUCCAAAGAUAUUUAUUUAUUAGAAACAAUCUUUUUUUAAAAAGAUACUUACUAAAAAUUCAUAGUAUCUAUAUAAACUAUGAAGAAUAUAAUUUAUUAUAUUUUUAUUAACUUAAGGUAUAGCUAGAAAAUUGAAUGGAAAUCAAUCAACCAGUGUGAAAGGUUGUAAUAGGCGUAAUGGCGGAAAGCAUGCCUAACUGAAAGACUUAGAAGUCGAACAGAUACGUAAGUAGGGCAUAGUGACCCUUCGCUAUAUUAUGGAAUAGACGGGGAUCAAUCGAUAAAAGUUACGCUAGGGAUAACAGGCUGAUAGCUGGUGAGAGUACACAUUGUCCCGGCUGUUUGGCACCUUGGAUAUAUUAUAUUAAAUUUAUAAAUACCACAUAAAAGAAUCAGUAUCUCAUUAUUUUGUUUGCUUCGAGCAAGAGAUAGUUCUUAAAAUUAUAAGAGCCCAAUUAUUUUAAUAAUUAAUCUAAAAUGAAUAAACCUAUAAUUGAAAUGUUAGUAGGAAAUCUUCUAGGAGAUGCCUCUAUCAAAAAAACAGUAUCUGGUAAAGCUUAUAUAACAUUUGAACAGUCUAUAAAAAAAUCUGAUUAUUUAAAUCACUUGUAUGAGCUAGUAAAAAGUAGUGGAAUACCUUUAAAAAAAGAAUCUCCUACUGUUUACUCUAGAGACGAUGAUAGAUUUGGAACUACAAAUAAAUCAUUAUAUUUUAGAACUGAGGCAGUAGAAGAAUUAAAACCUUUAGCCGAUUUAUUCUUGGAUGAAUCUGGGAAAAAAAUAAUACCUAGAAAUAUUUCUGAGUAUUUAACAGAAAAAGGCUUAGCUCAUUGGAUCAUGGAUGAUGGCCAAAGAGUAAAAAGAGGAGGUGUAACUUUAUGUACCGAUAGUUUUAACUCGGAAGAAGUAAGCAUACUUAGAGAUGCUUUAAAAAUUAAUUUUAAUUUUAAUACUUCUAUUCAUAAUAAAACAUCUAGCAAUGGAUCGGUUUAUGAAAGAAUAUAUAUAAAGAAAGAAUCUUUAGAUUCAAUUAUACCAACAUUGAAUACGCAUAUGCAUGAUUCAAUGCUUUAUAAAAUAAACUUAGAUAGAGUUUUUAGACAAGAUACUGAAGGCUUUAUAAGUGAUUCAGAUGUCAUAACUGAUAUAGAUAUGUUUGACGUUUAAAUUUAUAAUCUUAAUAAGCAAAUAUACAUCGGGGACUAUAAAUAGAAAUGUUUAUAUAAAAAUUGGCUAUAUGCUGGAACCCCCUAAAGCUUUAAGUACUCAUUUAUUUUUAUAAAUUGUAAUAAUCUUAAAGAUUGGGCAAUCAGCAGGGAAGUUACCUUUUUAGGUUAUAGCAACUGUAAAAUUUGUAACCCCUCAACGACUACACGCCAACACCCAGAGCUAACAUAAAGGUAUUCUUAUGCUGGGUGAAGAUAUAGUCUAAUCUUAACCGAAAGAUUAAGCCCAUCCUCAUAUGAGGUGGGAGUAUAUAUUUUAUAUACUAAUAUUGCGAUGUCGACUCAACCUAUCCUCCGGGGGUAGAAGCUUGGAAGGGUUCGGCUGUUCGCCGAUUAAAAGGUUACGCGAGUUGGGUUUAAUACGACGUGAGUCAGUAUGGUCCCUAUCUUCUGGAGGGAUAAAUAGUAAAAAGGGGCAGACCUUCUAGUACGAAAGGAUCAAUAGGCUGUGUUUCUCUAGUGUACCAAUUGUAAUUCUCUAUUCUAAAAAUUUUUAAAGGAUUAAAGAAAGAUUAAAGCAUAGUUGGGUAGCCACAAACAUGAUAGAUAAGCGCUGAAUGAAUAUUAAGCAGGAAGCUAUCCCCUAGAUACUAUCUUAUUGAUUAUCUUUUUAAUUGAUAUUUUAUUAGUUUUCUUUUUAAUCAAUGUGAAUAAGAAAUAGAACAUUUCUAAAUAGGAUGCAAAUGAAAGUGCUGUAA
This 5944-nucleotide ribosomal RNA is filed under the name Ganoderma lingzhi. Lineage: Eukaryota; Fungi; Basidiomycota; Agaricomycetes; Polyporales; Polyporaceae. The record is from RNAcentral.